Molecule: ribosomal RNA, 2372 nt
Filed under: Escherichia coli
Lineage: Bacteria; Pseudomonadati; Pseudomonadota; Gammaproteobacteria; Enterobacterales; Enterobacteriaceae
Description: partial 23S ribosomal RNA
Rfam family: Bacterial large subunit ribosomal RNA
Source: RNAcentral
UGAACCAGUACCGUGAGGGAAAGGCGAAAAGAACCCCGGCGAGGGGAGUGAAAAAGAACCUGAAACCGUGUACGUACAAGCAGUGGGAGCCUCUUAAUGGGGUGACUGCGUACCUUUUGUAUAAUGGGUCAGCGACUUAUAUUCUGUAGCAAGGUUAACCGAAUAGGGGAGCCGAAGGGAAACCGAGUCUUAACUGGGCGCUAAGUUGCAGGGUAUAGACCCGAAACCCGGUGAUCUAGCCAUGGGCAGGUUGAAGGUUGGGUAACACUAACUGGAGGACCGAACCGACUAAUGUUGAAAAAUUAGCGGAUGACUUGUGGCUGGGGGUGAAAGGCCAAUCAAACCGGGAGAUAGCUGGUUCUCCCCGAAAGCUAUUUAGGUAGCGCCUCGUGAAUUCAUCUCCGGGGGUAGAGCACUGUUUCGGCAAGGGGGUCAUCCCGACUUACCAACCCGAUGCAAACUGCGAAUACCGGAGAAUGUUAUCACGGGAGACACACGGCGGGUGCUAACGUCCGUCGUGAAGAGGGAAACAACCCAGACCGCCAGCUAAGGUCCCAAAGUCAUGGUUAAGUGGGAAACGAUGUGGGAAGGCCCAGACAGCCAGGAUGUUGGCUUAGAAGCAGCCAUCAUUUAAAGAAAGCGUAAUAGCUCACUGGUCGAGUCGGCCUGCGCGGAAGAUGUAACGGGGCUAAACCAUGCACCGAAGCUGCGGCAGCGACACUAUGUGUUGUUGGGUAGGGGAGCGUUCUGUAAGCCUGUGAAGGUGGCCUGUGAGGGUUGCUGGAGGUAUCAGAAGUGCGAAUGCUGACAUAAGUAACGAUAAAGCGGGUGAAAAGCCCGCUCGCCGGAAGACCAAGGGUUCCUGUCCAACGUUAAUCGGGGCAGGGUGAGUCGACCCCUAAGGCGAGGCCGAAAGGCGUAGUCGAUGGGAAACAGGUUAAUAUUCCUGUACUUGGUGUUACUGCGAAGGGGGGACGGAGAAGGCUAUGUUGGCCGGGCGACGGUUGUCCCGGUUUAAGCGUGUAGGCUGGUUUUCCAGGCAAAUCCGGAAAACCAAGGCUGAGGCGUGAUGACGAGGCACUACGGUGCUGAAGCGACAAAUGCCCUGCUUCCAGGAAAAGCCUCUAAGCAUCAGGUAACAUCAAAUCGUACCCCAAACCGACACAGGUGGUCAGGUAGAGAAUACCAAGGCGCUUGAGAGAACUCGGGUGAAGGAACUAGGCAAAAUGGUGCCGUAACUUCGGGAGAAGGCACGCUGAUAUGUAGGUGAAGCGACUUGCUCGUGGAGCUGAAAUCAGUCGAAGAUACCAGCUGGCUGCAACUGUUUAUUAAAAACACAGCACUGUGCAAACACGAAAGUGGACGUAUACGGUGUGACGCCUGCCCGGUGCCGGAAGGUUAAUUGAUGGGGUUAGCGGUAACGCGAAGCUCUUGAUCGAAGCCCCGGUAAACGGCGGCCGUAACUAUAACGGUCCUAAGGUAGCGAAAUUCCUUGUCGGGUAAGUUCCGACCUGCACGAAUGGCGUAAUGAUGGCCAGGCUGUCUCCACCCGAGACUCAGUGAAAUUGAACUCGCUGUGAAGAUGCAGUGUACCCGCGGCAAGACGGAAAGACCCCGUGAACCUUUACUAUAGCUUGACACUGAACAUUGAGCCUUGAUGUGUAGGAUAGGUGGGAGGCUUUGAAGUGUGGACGCCAGUCUGCAUGGAGCCGACCUUGAAAUACCACCCUUUAAUGUUUGAUGUUCUAACGUUGGCCCCUAAUCGGGGUUGCGGACAGUGUCUGGUGGGUAGUUUGACUGGGGCGGUCUCCUCCUAAAGAGUAACGGAGGAGCACGAAGGUUGGCUAAUCCUGGUCGGACAUCAGGAGGUUAGUGCAAUGGCAUAAGCCAGCUUGACUGCGAGCGUGACGGCGCGAGCAGGUGCGAAAGCAGGUCAUAGUGAUCCGGUGGUUCUGAAUGGAAGGGCCAUCGCUCAACGGAUAAAAGGUACUCCGGGGAUAACAGGCUGAUACCGCCCAAGAGUUCAUAUCGACGGCGGUGUUUGGCACCUCGAUGUCGGCUCAUCACAUCCUGGGGCUGAAGUAGGUCCCAAGGGUAUGGCUGUUCGCCAUUUAAAGUGGUACGCGAGCUGGGUUUAGAACGUCGUGAGACAGUUCGGUCCCUAUCUGCCGUGGGCGCUGGAGAACUGAGGGGGGCUGCUCCUAGUACGAGAGGACCGGAGUGGACGCAUCACUGGUGUUCGGGUUGUCAUGCCAAUGGCACUGCCCGGUAGCUAAAUGCGGAAGAGAUAAGUGCUGAAAGCAUCUAAGCACGAAACUUGCCCCGAGAUGAGUUCUCCCUGAGACUUAGAGUCUCCUGAAGGAACGUUGAAG